RNAcentral lists this transfer RNA (80 nucleotides) under Caudoviricetes sp. RNAcentral describes it as "tRNA-Leu". It matches the Rfam family "tRNA". From Rfam's summary of the family: Transfer RNA (tRNA) molecules are approximately 80 nucleotides in length. Their secondary structure includes four short double-helical elements and three loops (D, anti-codon, and T loops). The record is from RNAcentral. Lineage: Duplodnaviria; Heunggongvirae; Uroviricota; Caudoviricetes.
GGACUACUGGCGAAAUGGCAGACGCGCUUGAUUCAAGAUCAAGUCUCACAGAGGUAUAGGUUCGAGUCCUAUGUGGUCCA